AAGGGUGUUUCAUGAGUGUUAUGUAGUGUAUAAAUAGAGACGUCUUACUCCAUUCGAUACUUUGAUCCUGUUUGGAAGAGAAGCAUCAAGAUGAAGGCUGCUGUUAUUCUUGCUGUUCUUGCUGCGGUGCUCUGCGCCAGCACUGCCAACUGUGAGUGCAUUUGUCCCCUCAUCCUGAGCCCUGUCUGUGACACUGUCGGUAACUACUACGACAAUGUAUGCCAGUUGAACUGCGUUGAGAAUGCCGUCCUGGCUUCAGAGACCACCUACAGCGUCAGUGGCAACUCUUGUGUUGCUGCCAAGUAGAUGACCUUCAUCUUUGACCACAUGGAACGUCCCCGACCGAAGUACAUGUUACUUUUUCAAUAAAAUAUGGAAUCA
Molecule: long non-coding RNA, 381 nt
Organism: Haliotis rubra (blacklip abalone)
Lineage: Eukaryota; Metazoa; Mollusca; Gastropoda; Lepetellida; Haliotidae
Exons: 3
Source: RefSeq, a predicted model, not a curated record